Molecule: small RNA, 125 nt
Filed under: Marmota monax (woodchuck)
Lineage: Eukaryota; Metazoa; Chordata; Mammalia; Rodentia; Sciuridae
Source: RNAcentral
GCCGGGUGUGUUGGCACAUGCCUGUAAUCUCAGCAGCUCAAGAGGCUGAGGCAGGAGGAUCACAAGUUCAAAGCCAUCCUCAGCAAUAGCAAGUUGCUAAGCAUUUCAGUAAUACCCUGUCUGUA